RNAcentral lists this long non-coding RNA (6575 nucleotides) under Homo sapiens (human). RNAcentral describes it as "HSALNT0289723". Lineage: Eukaryota; Metazoa; Chordata; Mammalia; Primates; Hominidae. The record is from RNAcentral.
GGAGAGGCGCGCACGAGCGGACCCCGACACGCAGGGACACGCAGCACCAGCCGAGAUACGACCGAGGCACGCACGCGCAGGCACGCACACACACACACUCCAGUCUCCCUCUCCCGGCCGAGGCUGUGCGGCCCACGCUCUCCACCCCUCUCCGACCCCCAGCCGCGGGAGCCGAGCAGGGAGGUACCAGGCUAGGCCCUCCCCAUGCCCACCACUGCCGUGACUCUGGGUGCUGGGGUCCCAGCAGCCAGGCCCAAGAGAACCCCAGGGGCUGGCGGUGGCACCAAAAAAACACGUCCAGACCGUGGUUUCGCCUUGGCCUCCGCGCUGGAGGCGGAUAGGUGUCUGGAGUAACAGGACAUGUAUCCCAGGGACUGACCAGCAGGGAUGGGAAGGACCAUGGGGUGGAACUUACAAGGACACAGUGGCUUGAAAGGGGACAGAAGACAGGAAUUCGAGAGAGACUCGAAGCACCCACGCCACCUGGGCUUCUUGGAGGAAGAGGCAUGGGAGUGGGAGAUGGUUGGUUGAGGCCCUGUCCAGUGGGACCACACUGGGCCUGUUACCCAUAUACCCUACCCAGUGAGGGGCCCAGACUCCAGGACCCAGGACACACCCCCAGCAGGACUGGAGGGUCCCACUGGUGAGACAGGAGCUCUUGAGUCUUGGGGUCUUGGUGAGGCCCAGACGAGAGGUGGCUGGUUGCAGGGGGCGUCCUGAGGGACAGUGGCUCCCAGGGCAGAUUUCCCCUGCUUGGGUGGGGCUGGGCCAGCAGUGUCCCCUGGACAGGAGAACCCUACCCCGGCCCUCCCUCGGAGUAGCCAUGGCCCUCUUCCAGGGCCUCCUCAGCUCAGAGCUGGGAGGUGGGGGACGUGGGGGGGUGUCUGCCAGGAUGUCUCCUCCUUCCCCACCCUCUCCUGGAGGAUGCGCCGCGGGAGAACGGAUGGGGCUCCACAGGCUUCCUUCCUCCCUUUCAGGCAGGUGAGACACCGCGGGGCCGUGCGGACGGCCAGCACUCGACUUUGCCUAAAAAAGGAAGCAGCAGGCUGAGGCUGAGGAGCUGGCGGCAGGAACAAGGGAGAGCUGUGUCCCCGCCGGCGCCCCCCACCCCCCCUGCCGGGGAUCUUGGCAGUGGAGGUGCUGGCUGCGCUCCACAGACCUCAGACCUCGGCUGGGACCAGAAAUGCCUGGUGCUUCCGCCUGGGCCCGGUGGGGGGACUUUGGGUCCCCAGAGUGCAAGCUGUACCACUUCGAGGGGCCUCGCCAGGCCCCCCAGCCCCCAGUACACAGGGGCUGCCGUGGAGAUGACGCUGAAGGCCGCAGCCGCUGGAGGACCUGGGGUCUGACCGGAAGCUGGCUGCAGACCCUGCGGAGGCACGUCCAGGUAGUCAGGCAGGGAGCUGGGCCGAGGGUCCCCCACCCUGGGGAGGCUCACAGCCAGUGGCCCGCUUGUCCCCCACCCUCGCCCAGCAGGCGGGCCACAGUCACACCUCAGCCAGCCUUGCAGGGCUGACGGGGAAGUUUCCCUCACUUCUGGAAAAAGUGAGCGGGUCUUCUUGGCUGUGACUCAGGCCCUCAAGGAAGCGGCCGCCCUCCUCCCUUCAGCUCGCCAUCAGCGGGAGAAGGCACAGGAGGCCUGGCCUCCACCCAGCCUGGGCCGAGCUCAGCCACCUGCCUUGCUCCCGGCUCUGCCUGGAGUCCCUCCAGCUAGGAGACCCUCCCCAUCAGCUCUCCCCGUGCCCCUCAGUCUUCAGGACUCAUUCUUGUGUCCUGCCCUCCCCCCGCUGUCUCCACCCCGGAGGAGGGACGUGGACAGAGGGUCCCAGAGAGCAUGGGGUCAGCCAGAGGUGCAGUGUCAGGGCCCGGGCCGGACUUGAGGCAGACACCGGAGGAAGCACAAAUAUAACAGCCGGAACCCUCCACUCUCCAGGGAGAAGGGCCCGGGGUAAGAGGCAGAGGCAAGGACGGGUCAGGCCAGAUCACAGUGGGUGCUGGCCCCGAGCCCUCUGCCUCCUGCAGGCACAGCCCCUGUCUGAUCCUGGUGGCCUGGGGCCCCAUGGGGUGGGGAGCAGCCUGGUUUGGCUGCGGCCACCCCGCCCCCACGGUCUGGGCCUGGGCUGUGGGAGUCCCUGUGCCUCACUUCCCGGAGCCAGCCUGCCCUGCCGGUCUGUCUGCAGGCAGGUGGAGAGAGUUCCAGGAAGCUGGGGAGGCUGCUGUCACCCGGGCACCGCCCCUGCCCCCACCCGCCUUUGGGAAUGCUCCCUCCUCCGCACAAUCCAGGCUUCUGCAGAAGAUGAAGGGCCUUUUGUCCCCAGCUGGCUGUGGUCAUGUUUGACCCUGGGUAAAAGGGCAACUCCUGAGGCCUCUGACCCCACCCCUGACCCGAGCUGAGGGCAGGACGCCCAGGCCCGCACCCGGCGCCUUUUGUUGCUGUUUUCACGUAUCUCACAAACGUACUCAAGCACACACAGGAGCAGAUGGACGGGGCGGUGAGGGGCAGCAGUGGUGAGGGGCAGCGGCGGUGAGGGGCAGCGGCGGUGAGGGGCAGCGGUGCGGGCCUGAGGCACUGCUCUGGGGUGUGCCUGAGCCCACCCCACAACAGUAAGUGGGGCAGAGCAGGGGUCACCAAGAGAGCAGGGCCCACGCAGCUCCUAGACUCAACCUGCUCACUGGGGUCAAGGACAGGUCUUGGGGGCCUCGGGGGUCACUUUUCACUUCCCAGGAGCCCAGGCCUGCCCCUCUGGCCCCAGAGCUGACCCCCCUCAGUCCCCCGUGCCAGCAGCAGCUGGGGUGGCGGGUAGACACCUGGCGGGUAGCAGCCUGGGUAGGGGUGGGAGCUGCACCAUCUGCGUCUGUCCAUCCAUCCCUCGUCUGUGUGCUGGGCACAGCCGCGCCCCAGCCUCAGUGCUGGGGACACACAGGCGCCGGGCCAGCACUGCCAGGCUAGGAGGGUGGGCGGUGAACAGCUAGGAAAGAUACGGUCUACUUGUUUUCCCUGUGAGAACAGGGGGUCACUGGGGACUCGCACGCAAGGGGUACCCGAGGAAGAGCCUUCCAGGCAGAGAGAAGGAACCGCGAGUGCUGAGAGCAGGGUGGGGUGGGCAGGAGGGGCCUGCGCCAGGACUGCAGGGGCAGAGCAGGCUGGGGGCCUUCGGGAGGGGUGGCCGGGUGGAGGGUGUUGCCGGCCUCGACAGGGGCAGGAGGUUCGUCACAGCGAGGACAGAGCCCGGCCCGGUGGGAGCCGGAGAGCAGCAGGCCUGAAUGACCCAGGGUUUCCUAAUAGCAGGGCCCCUUCCUUGUGUGGGUCCCCUCACUUUGCCUCUCUGCUGGGACAUCCUUCCCUGAAAGGGAGAGGAGGACCACAUGCUGCCCCUUCCCCAGACACAGUCCAGACAGGCCCAGGCCACAGCCCUGGGCAGACGCAAAACUCCCAGGGGCCUGGACUGGGAUAGGGAGGAGGCAGCAGGGAGGGACUGACCUAUGUCCACACACCACAAGGGACUCCCAGAGGCGGGUGGGGCGGAGCUGGGAGCAGGGGCCUUAGCCCUCAGACCAGCCCACUCACCCUGGGGAGUUCCUGCCCCACAGCCUGCCCAGCUUACAGGCCUGGGGGCAGGGGCAGGCCAGCACAGGCCGGAGGGACAGAGGGAGCCACAUCUGAGGGGUCCCCCAGCUGCUCACACCGUCUGAGGCUGUGCUUGCCAACAACUCUGCUCCCAGGAAAUAUUUUGCAAAUCAGGAAAUGACACCGGGCAAGGCCUCUGCUCUCCGGGGCUACGGCCUCCCACAGGCACGUUCCUACAUCCCUCUGUGAACCGCCCACAGGCCCCCCCACAGGUGUUCCUCUGUGAGCUGGUCGGGCGGCCGGGGCCGGGGCCGGGCUUCGCUGCUCCGUGCCUUCCACCUCCCUGGCGGUGCGGGGCCUCAGGGUGGGCCUGGGAAGCUGGAAACACCUUUGGAAACAGCCGCCUGAGGCAGCUGUGGACAGAAGACCCUGCCCAGCAGCCAAGGGAGCUGGCCUCUCCGCUCAGCCUCCCCACCCCCACCAGGCCCAGCUGUUGUUUUCACGGCUCCGGGACCAGGCGGAUCCUCAGCCAAGAGCUUCCCAGGAGAGCCCUCAUCUUCAACCCCUAGUGGCGACCAGAGCCAGCCCGGGCAGGAGGGGAAGGAAGGCGGCCGCGGCCCCGGGGAAGCCAUCCUGGCAGCUUGGCCACUGGCCCGGCUCCUGUCUGACCAGGAAAGGCAUCAAAGCCGGACUCGGAUGGAGGCUGGAAAACCCCGAGACUUCUGCUGGACUCGACCCAGCCACACACCAGGCUGUGCUCAAGGCCACGGAAUGAGCCUUGACCCUGGCCCCAGACGGAGCCCAGACCUUGCUGGUCACAGGCUGAGCCCUGCUGGCAAUAUGAUGUACUAGAUCCCUUAAAAGGCCUUCCAGCAACAACCAACUUCUGGAUGAAUUACUAUGAGCGUACAUUUUUAAUAGACUGUUGUGUUUCCAAGAAAGUAAAUAUCUCCGAGUCUCCCCCAAAAUUAAACAGCAAAAAUAAAUAAGGCCAGGUGGGGUGGCUCAUGCCUGUAAUCCCAACACUUUAGGAGGCUGAGGCGAGAGGAUUGCUUGUGCCUAGGAGUUCGAGACCAGCCUGGGCAACAUGAUGAGACCCCGUCUCUACAAAAAAAUUUAAAAUUAGCUGGGUGUGGUGGUGCACUCUAGUCACAGCUACUUGGGAGGCUGAGGCAGGAGGAUCACUUGAGCCUGGGAGGGCGAGGCUGCAGAGAGCUAGGAGCUCACCACUGCACUCAGACUGGGCGGCAGAGCAAGACUCUGUCUCUAAGUAAACAAACAGACAGAGUAGUGUGGAGGCCUGGAUGAUGAAGGGAAGUGGUUGGGAAAGCAGAUAACUCCCUGGACACACACAGGGACAGAGAGCCAGCCUGCGGCCAGGGAACAAGUAUGUUUCUCUGCCUAGGGGCUGCUUAAACCAGGGGUCUCAAGGGUCACUGAGGGGGCCGAGGGUGGUCUCGCCUGGAAAAGGGGAAUAGUCUCUGGAGGGAAGCAUCCCCAAGUUGGACCUCAGAAUUGUCUCCGAUAACAGCUGACAAUUAAACAACCAAACGUUCAGAGAAACACCAUGCUACUGAUGAGAAUCGGCAGAAACACCAGUCACAGAUUUAGACCCCCAAAGACUAGGACACUGGAAUUAUUUAGUACAGAAUAUAAAAUAACUAUAUAUGAAAUAUGUUUAAGAAGUGGAAACUGUAAUCUAAAAAGCAAGCAUGUAUCAAGAGACCAUAAAAAAAAUCAGACAAAUCUAAAACACAAUCAGAUGUAACUUUUAGAUAUGCUAACCUUUUUUUUUUUUUGAGAUGGAGUUUCACUUUGUCACCCAGGCUGGAGUGCAGUGGCACCCUCUCAGCUCACUCCAACCUCUGCCUCCAGUGUUCAAAUGAUUCUUGUGCCUCAGCCUCCUGAGUAGCUGGGACUACAGGUGUGCACCACCAUGGCCAGCUAAUUUUUUUUGUUGUUUUUUUGUUUGUUUUUAAGAUGGAGUCUUGCUCUUGUUGUCCAGGCUGGAGUGCAAUGGCAUGAUUUCGGCUCACUGCAAUCUCUGCCUCCUGGGUUCAAGCGAUCCUCCUGCCUCAGCCUCCCAAGUAGCUGAGGUUAUAGGUGCCCACCACCACGCCCAGCUAAUUUUUUUUUUUUUUUUUUUUGAGACGGAGCCUCGCUCUUUCGCCCAAGCUAGAGUGCAGUGGCGUGAUCUUGGCUCACUGCAAGCUUUGCCUCCCAGGUUCACGCCAUUCUCCUGCCUCAGCCUCCCGAGUAGCUGGUACUACAGGUGCCCGCCACCAAGCCCAGCUAAUUUCUGUAUUUUUUAGUAGAGACGGGGUUUCACCGUGUUAGCCAGGAUGAUCUGGAUCUCCUGAGCUGGUGAUCCGCCCUCCUCGGCUUCCCAAAGUGCUGGGAUUACAGGCGUGAGCCACCGUGCCUGGCCUGGAUAUGUUAACAUAAUAAUUUAAGAUAAAAUGAAUGAGUUAAUCAGCAGAUUAGACGGAAGGGAGUAAUUUGAUGAGGGGGUAAAAGAAAAUGGUGAGGAUAUGGAGAAGGAAUUCGUGGUGAAACUGGACACAAUUGUUGAGGGAUUUCCAGAGCUGAUGAACGUUGUGGACCUGUGGCUUACACCAAACAGGGUGGGUGUGAGCUCGGCACAGCUAGGACGCGCUGGUGAGACCAAGGAACACCAAAGUCAGUGAGGAGAUCUUAGUGUCUCCCGGAGAGAGCCGACCGAGGCUGGCGCAUGUCUGAAUGCGAGCCUGGCCAUAGGCUGAGCCCGGCUGCCGCCACCCCUGGGCUUCUGGAACCCUGGGCUUGGCCGAGCGUGGGUGUCUCCCCUGGGAGCCCCAGAGCCCUGGACGAUGGAGGCCGGGACCUGGGCAGGCGCGGGAGGCCUUGGGCUGGGGCCUGCGCCCCUCCUCUGAGGGCUGCCUGCCGGGCUCUGCCCUGCCCUGCCCUUCCCUCCCCUCUCUUCCCCUCCCCUCUCCUCUCUUUCCCUCACCUCCCCUCUCUUUGCCUCCCC